CCUACGGGAGGCAGCAGUGAGGAAUAUUGGUCAAUGGUCGGGAGACUGAACCAGCCAAGCCGCGUGAGGGAGGAAGGUACAGAGUAUCGUAAACCUCUUUUGUCAGGGAACAAAGACUGGGACGCGUCCCCGGAUGAGUGUACCUGAAGAAAAAGCAUCGGCUAACUCCGUGCCAGCAGCCGCGGUAAUACGGAGGAUGCGAGCGUUAUCCGGAUUUAUUGGGUUUAAAGGGUGCGCAGGCGGUCUGUUAAGUCAGCGGUAAAAGGCCGGGGCUCAACCUCGGCCCGCCGUUGAAACUGGCAGUCUCGAGUUGGAGAGAAGUAUGCGGAAGGCGCGGUGUAGCGGUGAAAUGCAUAGAUAUCGCGCAGAACUCCGAUUGCGAAGGCAGCAUGCCGGCUCCAGACUGACGCUGAGGCACGAAAGCGUGGGUAUCGAACAGGAUUAGAUACCCUUGUAGUC
This 459-nucleotide ribosomal RNA is filed under the name uncultured bacterium. RNAcentral's name for it is "partial 16S ribosomal RNA". It matches the Rfam family "Bacterial small subunit ribosomal RNA", at positions 338 to 795 of the family's 1533-position model. The record is from RNAcentral.